GAUGAAGAACGUAGCGAAAUGCGAUAAGUAGUGUGAAUUGCAGAAUUCAGUGAAUCAUCGAAUCUUUGAACGCACAUUGCGCCCCUUGGUAUUCCAUGGGGCAUGCCUGUUCGAGCGUCAUUUGUACCUUCAAGCUUUGCUUGGUGUUGGGUGUUUGUCUCGCCUUUGCGUGUAGACUCGCCUUAAAAUAAUUGGCAGCCGGCGUAUUGAUUUCGGAGCGCAGUACAUCUCGCGCUUUGCACUCAUAACGACAGCGUCCAAAAGUACAUUUUACACUCUUGACCUAGGAUCAGGUAGGGAUACCCGCUGAACUUAAGCAUAUCAAUAAGCGGAGGA
This 336-nucleotide unclassified non-coding RNA is filed under the name soil metagenome. RNAcentral's name for it is "partial contains 5.8S ribosomal RNA, internal transcribed spacer 2, and large subunit ribosomal RNA". The stretch from base 1 to 120 matches the Rfam family "5.8S ribosomal RNA", at positions 35 to 154 of the family's 154-position model. The record is from RNAcentral.